Molecule: ribosomal RNA, 500 nt
Filed under: uncultured bacterium
Lineage: Bacteria
Description: partial 16S ribosomal RNA
Rfam family: Bacterial small subunit ribosomal RNA
Source: RNAcentral
AUUGAACGCUGGCGGCAUGCCUUACACAUGCAAGUCGAACGGCAGCACGGGAGCAAUCCUGGUGGCGAGUGGCGAACGGGUGAGUAACAUAUCGGAACGUGCCCAGUCGUGGGGGAUAACGCAGCGAAAGCUGUGCUAAUACCGCAUACGCUCUAUGGAUGAAAGCGGGGGAUCGCAAGACCUUCCGGGAUUGGAGCGGCCGAUAUCAGAUUAGCUAGUUGGUGAGGUAAAGGCUCACCAAGGCGACGAUCUGUAGCUGGUCUGAGAGGACGACCAGCCACACUGGAACUGAGACACGGUCCAGACUCCUACGGGAGGCAGCAGUGGGGAAUUUUGGACAAUGGGCGCAAGCCUGAUCCAGCAAUGCCGCGUGCAGGAUGAAGGCCUUCGGGUUGUAAACUGCUUUUGUACGGAACGAAACGGUCUUUCCUAAUACGAGAGGCUAAUGACGGUACCGUAAGGAUAAGCACCGGCUAACUACGUGCCAGCCGCCGCCGUAA